UAUGUUUUGUAUUCAGAUACACACACACGCACGCACACACACACACACACACACACACACACACACACACACACACACACAUACAUACACACACACACACACACACACACACACACACAGACAAAUAUGACUGAUAUAUAUUUAUAUAAAAAUGAAAUUAUAUGAGUGUCAGCUUUUAUUGCGCUUAUCUCAGCUGAAAAGACCCCGUAUGAUGCGUAGAUCAUGCGCUUCUCUGAUGUGUGUGACUCAAAUCAUUAGCUACAGUGGCAGUUUUAGGCAUGGGCGAACCUGGCAGCCGCCCGGGCGCCAUAUUUGUGGGUGGAGCAAAAUCACAGACGGAAUUACCCCCCCCACUGAUUAGCUAAUACAGAACAUGGGCUAAAUAAAUACGAUUAUGUCAUUCAUUUCCUGAAUAUCCAUGCAUAAAAAUCUCUCAAAAGUGAUGACAAAUAUAAAUAAUAUUGCUUCAGUAUUUAUUAAUGUUAUGGGAAGCCUUCAAAUGAAUCAUGUUACAAUUGUGCACCAAUAAUGAAUAACCCCUCCAACCAUUUGGCAGCUGAUUCUAUUAAUGAUGAAGUUAGCAGGAAACCUUAAGUUCCACUAUUUGAAAUAGAAAGAGGAAGCUGAGGUGUUUUGUCAGAAAAUGAAAAGCAGAUAAGUGACUUUCAACCCACUUGCAUAACAUGGGGGAUAUUCGCCUGGUAAGACGCAUUUCUGCUCUCUGUGUUUUACGCCAAUAUCUUGUGUCCUACUAGAAAGGGAACCGACACUUAUAAGGCACAGUAGACCAACUGUCUUGUCUGUUUACUGUAUUCUGUGGAAUUGUUCGGCUGUUGGAUGUUGUCUUUGUGAAAUGUAGUUGCCUUUCUAUUAACCACCAUGUCCGUCAACAACACCUGUCAAAACGGAAGCCUUUCACCGGGCUGCGCCCCGCAGCCGGCGGAGAGCUCGAUAGGCUUGGCCGUGGGCCUCAGCAUCUUCUUCCUGCUCCUCCUCCUCAUGGUGCCCAUCGUCUUCUACGUCUUGAAACGUUACCACAGUAACAUGUGGCGGCUGGACCGGGCCAGGCCCGGGAAGAGGGAGGACCCCGCGCAGAUCGAGCAGCAGCUGGCCGCCCAACGGUACAGCACCAUGGGCCGGGCGCCAGCCGGGGCAGAGCCAAGCCCCAUCUACGAAAACUACAGCGGCCAAACCUCCGCGGGCACAGCCUCCACGGGGGGGCCACACACGACCUCUUGGGCUCCUGGACCAAACAAGUUACUUCACAAAGUUUUUGUGAAGUUAAAUAAGCAAUGCAUGUGAAUCGUCAUUUGUGAAAAAUUCUGAUUAUUCAAAUUUAUUGG
RNAcentral lists this long non-coding RNA (1343 nucleotides) under Gadus morhua (Atlantic cod). RNAcentral's name for it is "lncRNA (ENSGMOG00000026055.1)". Lineage: Eukaryota; Metazoa; Chordata; Actinopteri; Gadiformes; Gadidae. The record is from RNAcentral.